CUGCCCGGCUGCUCUUGCAGUUGGCUCGACAUCCAGCCCAGCUCCGGGAAGUCCUGGUCAGCUCGACCAUUCCAAAGCAGGAAGGUACGAUGGUAGCCUGCCUUGCUCAGGGUUUCCAGGAUGUUGCCAGCAGUGGCGUUCUUCACAGCCACGGAGCUGGUAGAGGUGCCGAAGAUUUUCUUCGCACUCAUCGACUCGAUGGUAGCAGCCACUUCCAGGACAUCUGCCGGGACGUGAGAUUCGAUGGUAGCACCGUACCACUUGCUGUUCGCAGCGCUUACUGCCAGGAUAGCGGCACCCCAGCCCUCGGUGGACGGCAUGUUCGACUUCGACAGGUUUGCCGAGGUAGUCAGCGACCAGGAGGUGCUGGAGCUGCGAACGGUGAUGGUACCGUCGGUAUUGUCGGUCAGAGUGAUGCCAACGACCGGGCUGACGUUGAAAGCUGCUACCAGGCCUGCGCAGAUGGUUACUGCCGUGUCUGCCGGCUCGUCAUCUUCAUCCACAGGUUCCGGUUUCGACAGGUAGCUCACCGGAAUACCGUUCAGGGUCAUGGUGUAGGUGGUCUGCGGUGCAACCUCUACAAUGGAGACAGUGGCGCCUGGCACGUUGCGGCGACCAACAACCAGGCGGUUGGGGCGCGGGUUCUGUGCGAAGGCCAUACGAGCUGCCUGCAUUACGGAGCUAUUGUUCGG
This 692-nucleotide non-coding RNA is filed under the name Pseudomonas phage PAK_P3. Lineage: Duplodnaviria; Heunggongvirae; Uroviricota; Caudoviricetes; Vandenendeviridae. The record is from RNAcentral.